Triticum aestivum (bread wheat) is the source of this 1100-nucleotide long non-coding RNA. RefSeq lists it as uncharacterized. Lineage: Eukaryota; Viridiplantae; Streptophyta; Magnoliopsida; Poales; Poaceae. The transcript is spliced from 3 exons. The record is from RefSeq and is a predicted model, not a curated record.
UACUCCCUGUGUCCUACUCGUUCGAGUUUUGCCAAAAUCACCAUCGCCCUUGCCCUAUCAAGUCAUCCCGAUCUCGCCGAAGUUCGGCCGCCGCAGAAGCCUUCCGCCGGUCAAAUUCGUCACCUGCAGAAGGGGAGCAGCGUAACGACCGCAUCAACCUCGACCAGAGCCAGUUUCCGCUGCCACCGCUCCAGCCGGUCACUGUCGCCACCGGAGCAAGCUCCAAUUGUGUCAGAGGUCACUCACUUCAUCUCUGUCGCGCUCUCCACUCGUAGGUCAUAUCUGCGUAGCCGGAGGCCCUCUGUAGCCGUCGCCCGCAUCACCAACGAGCCGCCAGCGCCGUCCUUCUCCAACUCCGACGACGCCCAGCUCUGUUCUCAGAUUGUCCGAAGUGUGAAGCGGAUCAGAAUUAAGCGUUAGAGUACUUCAAUACCGUUCAAGGCAAGUUUGCACUUUGAUUUUGCUUAUCCUAUAUUCUGCUAUGCAAGUGUGGUUUUAUGUUAUGAUAUAUGUUUGGCCUGGCCGUGUUGUCAUGUUUUGGUAUUGAUUGUAUUAUGUGUUGGUGUGAUCAACUUGCUAUGGUAGAUGUGGGCAUGUGUCGAGUGAUGAUGCAUGGAAGUGGUGAGCGCUUAUAGCUGUAGGCUCGGGACUUUUACUCAGGUGAAUGCGUCACUGGCUGAGCGCUCUAUUGUCCCUAGAGAAUGCGCCAUGGCUGAGCGCACUUGAGUUGUCGUGGCUUUUCUCAUGUGAAUGCGUCACUGGCUGAACGCUCUAUUGUCCCUAGAGAAUGCGCCAGGGCUGAGCGCACUUGAGACAUCUUGAAGAUCUUUGUCAUCUAUGUUGUGUGCACCUUGCCUAUGUCGUGGAUGUAGGUGAAGGUAGUUUUACGCGAAACCAAACUUGAGUGUUUUGUUUGUCAUGCUUUGCUUUGUGGAUGUAGGUUUGCUAUAUCAUUAUGUGUAAUUUGCCAAUGCAUUCAAUGUAUUGACCCUUUGUGGCUGCAACUUAUCAUGUUGCAGGAUAUUCAGGUGAUCAGUGAGAUACAGUAGGGUCGCGAGUCUUCACUCAACAUUUCGCCAGUGGGCAUUGACGGGACUCAU